GGUGAACGCUGGCGGCGUGCCUAAUACAUGCAAGUCGAGCGAACAGACGAGGAGCUUGCUCCUCUGACGUUAGCGGCUGACGGGUGAGUAACACGUGGAUAACCUUCCUAUAUUACUGGGAUAACUUCGGGAAGCCGGAGCUAAUACCAGAUAAUAUAUUGAACCGCAUGGUUCAAUAGUGAAAGACGGUUUUGGUGUCACUUAGAGAUGGAUCCGCGCCGCAUUAGCUAGUUGGUAAGGGAACGGCUUACCAAGGCGACGAUGCGUAGCCGACCUGAGAGGGUGAUCGGCCACACUGGAACUGAGACACGGUCCAGACUCCUACGGGAGGCAGCAGUAGGGAAUCUUCCGCAAUGGGCGAAAGCCUGACGGAGCAACGCCGCGUGAGUGAUGAAGGUCUUCGGAUCGUAAAACUCUGUUAUUAGGGAAGAACAAAUGUGUAAGUAACUAUGCACGUCUUGACGGUACCUAAUCAGAAAGCCCCGGCUAACUACGUG
This 497-nucleotide ribosomal RNA is filed under the name uncultured bacterium. Its description in RNAcentral is "partial 16S ribosomal RNA". It matches the Rfam family "Bacterial small subunit ribosomal RNA", at positions 28 to 507 of the family's 1533-position model. The record is from RNAcentral.